Molecule: ribosomal RNA, 1208 nt
Filed under: metagenome
Description: bacterial LSU rRNA
Rfam family: Bacterial large subunit ribosomal RNA
Source: RNAcentral
CCUUGAAGAAGGUGGGCCCUCCGUAGGUGUAGUCGUACAGACGAAGCCGAUGAGGGUUGCAGAGAAAUGGCGGUAGCGACUGUUUACCAAAAACACAGGACUCUGCGAAGACGACAAGUCGACGUAUAGGGUCUGACUCCUGCCCGGUGCUGGAAGGUUAAGGGGAUUCGUCAGCCGCAAGGCGAAGCGAUGAUCCGAAGCCCCAGUAAACGGCGGCCGUAACGAUAACGGUCCUAAGGUAGCGAAAUUCCUUGUCGGGUAAGUUCCGACCUGCACGAAUGGAGUAACGACUUCCGCGCUGUCUCGGAGAGGGACUCAGCGAAAUUGAAAUAGCUGUGCCGAUGCAGUUUACCCGCAGCAAGACGGAAAGACCCCGUGAACCUUUACUACAACUUGACAGUGACACUAGGGAUUGACUGUGUAGGAUAGGUGGGAGCCUUUGAAACCGGGCCGCUAGGUUCGGUGGAGGCAACGGUGAAAUACCACCCUGUUGAUUUCUGGUGUCUAACCGUGUCCCAUAAUCUGGGAUCGGGACACUGUCUGGUGGGUAGUUUGACUGGGGCGGCCGCCUCCCAAAGCGUAACGGAGGCGCGCGAUGGUUCCCUCAGCCCGAUUGGAAACCGGGCGGCGAGUGCAAUGGCAUAAGGGAGCUUAACUGCGAGACAGACAUGUCGAGCAGGUGCGAAAGCAGGUCAUAGUGAUCCGGUGGUUCUGAAUGGAAGGGCCAUCGCUCAACGGAUAAAAGGUACUCCGGGGAUAACAGGCUUAUCUCCUCCAAGAGUUCACAUCGACGAGGAGGUUUGGCACCUCGAUGUCGGCUCAUCGCAUCCUGGGGCUGGAGCAGGUCCCAAGGGUUUGGCUGUUCGCCAAUUAAAGCGGUACGCGAGCUGGGUUCAAAACGUCGUGAGACAGUUUGGUCCCUAUCUGCUGUGGGCGUAGGAUACUUGAGAGGAUCUGUCCUUAGUACGAGAGGACCGGGAUGGAGACACCUCUGGUGUACCAGUUGUCACGCCAGUGGCAUCGCUGGGUAGCCAUGUGUCGAUUGGAUAACCGCUGAAAGCAUCUAAGCGGGAAACCGACCUCAAGAAUAGGUAUCCCGGGGGAAACCCCCUGAAGACCCGUCGAAGACUACGACGUUGAUAGGCCGGGUGUGUAAGCGUGGCAACACGUUGAGCUAACCGGUACUAAUUGGUCGUGCGGCUUACUUU